This 267-nucleotide long non-coding RNA is filed under the name Brassica rapa (field mustard). RNAcentral's name for it is "long non-coding RNA (BRAP_LNC005276)". The record is from RNAcentral. Lineage: Eukaryota; Viridiplantae; Streptophyta; Magnoliopsida; Brassicales; Brassicaceae.
UGACUGUCUGUGAAUCACCCCUAUCUGCAUGUUGUGUCAUCGGUAACAAAAAAAAAUGAAAAAUAAAAGGUGUUCUUUGUUAUCAACCAUGAAAAUAGAAGGUAUAAAAAACCCCAUACAUGUUGUUCAUAAAAAAAACCAUACAUAUAUAUAGACUGCCUUGUUUGUUUCAUGGCUUCAUAAAAAGAGAUCAAUAAAAUUACUAUCUGAGUAGUUAUAUGUCUGCAAGUAAAUAAAUAGAGAUUUAAUAACAUUAAACGAGACCCA